CUUGCUUCUCUUGAGAGCGGCGGACGGGUGAGUAAUGCCUAGGAAUCUGCCUGGUAGUGGGGGAUAACGUCCGGAAACGGACGCUAAUACCGCAUACGUCCUACGGGAGAAAGCAGGGGACCUUCGGGCCUUGCGCUAUCAGAUGAGCCUAGGUCGGAUUAGCUAGUUGGUGGGGUAAUGGCUCACCAAGGCGACGAUCCGUAACUGGUCUGAGAGGAUGAUCAGUCACACUGGAACUGAGACACGGUCCAGACUCCUACGGGAGGCAGCAGUGGGGAAUAUUGGACAAUGGGCGAAAGCCUGAUCCAGCCAUGCCGCGUGUGUGAAGAAGGUCUUCGGAUUGUAAAGCACUUUAAGUUGGGAGGAAGGGCAGUAAAUUAAUACUUUGCUGUUUUGACGUUACCGACAGAAUAAGCACCGGCUAACUCUGUGCCAGCAGCCGCGGUAAUACAGAGGGUGCAAGCGUUAAUCGGAAUUACUGGGCGUAAAGCGCGCGUAGGUGGUUCGUUAAGUUGGAUGUGAAAUCCCCGGGCUCAACCUGGGAACUGCAUUCAAAACUGACGAGCUAGAGUAUGGUAGAGGGUGGUGGAAUUUCCUGUGUAGCGGUGAAAUGCGUAGAUAUAGGAAGGAACACCAGUGGCGAAGGCGACCACCUGGACUGAUACUGACACUGAGUGCGAAAGCGUGGGGAGCAAACAGGAUUAGAUACCCUGGUAGUCCACGCCGUAAACGAUGUCAACUAGCCGUUGGGAGCCUUGAGCUCUUAGUGGCGCAGCUAACGCAUUAAGUUGA
This 792-nucleotide ribosomal RNA is filed under the name uncultured bacterium. RNAcentral's name for it is "bacterial SSU rRNA". It matches the Rfam family "Bacterial small subunit ribosomal RNA", at positions 79 to 868 of the family's 1533-position model. The record is from RNAcentral.